This is a long non-coding RNA of Homo sapiens (human), 159 nucleotides long. RefSeq lists it as uncharacterized. The transcript is spliced from 2 exons. The record is from RefSeq and is a predicted model, not a curated record. NCBI's taxonomy places the organism in Eukaryota, Metazoa, Chordata, Mammalia, Primates, Hominidae.
AUUCUCCUGCCUCAGCCUCCCGUGGAUACGUCAUGGGAAUUUUGUUGAUGGCUCUAGUUUAUUCCCUCCCAAAAGACCAAGAGCAACCAGAUGGAGUGAAGUUAACUUCAGGAUUUUAUUGUCUUCAUAAUAAAAUAAAAGAUGACAUUUAGAACUGUA